UCGCCCGAUGAUUCGCCUUCGCCCUACGCCGGCCCGACGCCCACGUUGCGCGGCCUGACGACGUGACGGUGCGCGGCCUGCGGAUCUGAAGCGGCGCGGAGCGGCUCCCGGCGGAAGUUGGCACAGCGGGGCAGACGGCGGCGCUCCUCCGCAGAGGUGCGCCCUCGCGCGCGACGUCGCUCGGCACUGAGGCCCUCGAGAUUGGGCACGGCGGCGCGCGGAGGCCACACGGGUCAGCUGGGGGCGCGGCCGCGCGAGUCAAUGGCAGCGGAGCGGCGGCGAAGCAGCUGCAACGUAGGCUGGCGACUGGGAGGAGACGACACACGGCCAGGCGCGCAUCGCCGGCGAGCCAAUGCAUGAUUUUCUUAGUUAAUUUGGUGCAAGGUGUGUGAAUAAUUACCCUAGAUAUUGAAAAAUGGCUGGUUAGCACAAGUAUAUAGGCUGUGUCUUUUUAUGUUGUUUAUACUACUGAGUGAAGUAUACUAGGCAUGGGUAUUGUAUGCUUUGCUUAUCAGUCUUGUUCAGUAUAUUUUUGCUCAUCUCGGUAGCUAUAAUUCUAAUGGAUUCAAGUAUGAAUAAUUAACUUGUGUUUAUCUUCCA
Molecule: long non-coding RNA, 600 nt
Organism: Setaria italica (foxtail millet)
Lineage: Eukaryota; Viridiplantae; Streptophyta; Magnoliopsida; Poales; Poaceae
Exons: 2
Source: RefSeq, a predicted model, not a curated record